UACGUAGGGCGCAAGCGUUAUCCGGAAUUAUUGGGCGUAAAGAGCUCGUAGGCGGUUUGUCGCGUCUGCCGUGAAAGUCCGGGGGCUCAACUCCGGAUCUGCGGUGGGUACGGGCAGACUAGAGUGAUGUAGGGGAGACUGGAAUUCCUGGUGUAGCGGUGGAAUGCGCAGAUAUCAGGAGGAACACCGAUGGCGAAGGCAGGUCUCUGGGCCACUACUGACGCUGAGAAGCGAAAGCAUGGGGGAGCGAACAGG
This 255-nucleotide ribosomal RNA is filed under the name uncultured bacterium. RNAcentral describes it as "partial 16S ribosomal RNA". It matches the Rfam family "Bacterial small subunit ribosomal RNA", at positions 524 to 776 of the family's 1533-position model. The record is from RNAcentral.